GGCCGACAGAAGAUGGCGGAUGAGCAGCGUGCAGGGUUUUCUCCCUGUGGCUCACUCUCUCUUACUGUGCUGGGCGGUUGCUUCCUCUCCUGCUGCCCUUGGGAGUCAGACUCCAGGUUCUUCAGCCUGUGGCCCCUGGGGCUCUCGGGCCUUGGAGGACUGACUAGGAGCACACGGUGGGCCUCUCUGGUUUGGGGGCCUGGGACGUGGCGGAGCCCUGCAGCUUCUGUGCGGCCUGUUCUGGGCGUCGCGUUGAAACGCCAGCCAGUUCCCCAAUCCCCCUGGGAUUACAGGAGUGUUGAAGAAAUGUUGUGACACAUCAGAACACCGCGAAAUACAUGGACACUUUCAAAUCAUGGAAGACUCAAGCCCACCAGGUAUUUUUGAAAAAAGUACUCUGUGAAAAACAGAAACUGCAAGCAAGACAGAUACCAGGAUUAGGGAUCACGGUGACUUCUACCAUCGCUGGAUACUCCCAAAAGGGUUCUCGAGACAGCAGCUGUGUCUGCCCUGCUUUGGCAUUCUUUCCCAGGCAUGGCGACCGUAAGUCAAAAUGUAAUCCUUAGCUGGUCAUACAAGCCCUGUCAUUACUCAUAUAUGCAGAUGAUAUUUUAAAUUCUUCCAGUUUUUUUUUAGGGAGGAGUAUUAAAACAUGAGUAAAAAUUAAUUUGUGGGCUCACUGACAAUGGGGUUUAAUUUGCAUUUUUAUCCUCAUUGAUUAGCACCAAGCCCAGAAGAACUUGUGUUCAUUAAGAACUUGUUGAUUGAGCAGCUAGAAAGGGGCUUGUCUUCCAUAAGGAGAUCUCUACUCUUGUGGGUUUUACUCUCUAGCAGAGGGACAUGAGCAACAGACAAUAAAAUAAAUAUUACAUGGUAUAUUUGAACAAUAUAAAUGCCACGAAAAUGAAAAAUAAAAGUGCAGAGCAAGGAAGAGAGAUGAGAAGGCCAACUGAGAUCUUAAAUGAAGUGGGGAUGGUGGGCCUCACAGAGAGGAGAUGACACACUUGAAGAAGGUGAAGGGGCAAGCACAGAUACUCUGGGGAAUGUGCAUUCCUGCCAGGACCAUCAGUGCUAAAGCCGUAAGUGGAGGUGUGCCUGGCACUUGCCAGGAAUAAUGAGGAAGGGGAGGUGGCAGAGGAGAGCUGAGCUGCCAGGAGAAUGGCACAGGACAUUGGAGGGCUGAUGAGGUCCAGAUGACAUGUGGCUUCACAAACCAUUGCAAGGAUAUGGCAUCUGCUCUGAGUCAAAUGGAAAUUUAUUGCAGGAUUUGAAAAAAGAGUGAUGGCUGUGUCCAGUGGCUCAUGCCUAGAAUCCCAGCACUAUGGGAGGCCGAGACAGGCAGAUCACUUGAGCCCAGGAGUUUUAGACCAGCCUGUGCAACAGGGUGAAACCUCGUUUCUACCAAAAAUACAAAAAUGCAUGGGCGUGGUGGCACAUGCAAAUAGUUCCAGCUAAUCAGGAUGCUGAGGUGGGAGGAUCACUUGAGCUCUGGCAAGUGGAGCCUGCAGUGAGCUGAGAUCACCACCACACUCCAGUCUGGGCAACAGAAUGAGAUCCUGUCUCAAUAAAAAGAAAAAAGCGUUGAUGUGGUUUGGCUCUGUGUCCCCACCCAAAUCUCACCUUGUAGCUCUCUUAAUUCCCACAUGUUGUGAGAGGGACCCAGUGGGAGAUGAUUGAAUUACGGGAGCCAGUCUUUCCCAUACCGUUGUCAUGGUAGUGAAUAAGCCUCGAGAUCUGAUGGUUUGAUAAGGAGAAACUUGUUUCGCUUGGCAUUUAUUCUCUCUUUGCCUGCUGCCAUGCAUGUAAGAUGUGAAUUUUGCUCCACCUUGACUUCUGCCAUGAUUGUGAGGCUUCCCCAGCCAUGUGGAACUGUAAUUAAACCUCUUUCUUUUGUAAAU
Homo sapiens (human) is the source of this 1898-nucleotide long non-coding RNA. Ensembl annotates it as long intergenic non-protein coding RNA 1446. Lineage: Eukaryota; Metazoa; Chordata; Mammalia; Primates; Hominidae. The record is from Ensembl.